Molecule: ribosomal RNA, 175 nt
Filed under: uncultured bacterium
Lineage: Bacteria
Description: partial 16S ribosomal RNA
Rfam family: Bacterial small subunit ribosomal RNA
Source: RNAcentral
UACGGGAGGCAGCAGUGGGGAAUUUUGGACAAUGGGCGAAAGCCUGAUCCAGCAAUGCCGCGUGCAGGAUGAAGGCCUUCGGGUUGUAAACUGCUUUUGUACGGAGCGAAACGGUCUUCUUUAAUACAGAGGGCUAAUGACGGUACCGUAAGAAUAAGCACCGGCUAACUACGUG